RNAcentral lists this ribosomal RNA (253 nucleotides) under uncultured bacterium. RNAcentral describes it as "partial 16S ribosomal RNA". It matches the Rfam family "Bacterial small subunit ribosomal RNA", at positions 524 to 776 of the family's 1533-position model. The record is from RNAcentral.
UACGUAGGUGGCGAGCGUUGUCCGGAUUUACUGGGCGUAAAGAGCGCGCAGGCGGUCGUCCAAGUCGCGUGUGAAAGCCCCCGGCUCAACUGGGGAGGGUCACGCGAUACUGAUCGACUCGAAGGCAGGAGAGGGAAGCGGAAUUUCCGGUGGAGCGGUGAAAUGCGUAGAGAUCGGAAAGAACACCAACGGCGAAAGCGCUCUGCUGGGCCGACACUGACACUGAGAGACGAAAGCUAGGGGAGCGAAUGGG